ACCCGUGCACAGAACAGAUGAUACUUUGUAUCUCUAGUUUUGCUUGUGGUGCUGCCUGUGCAGCUAGAAGGCUUUGACACUAAAGUGAUUGAUCUUGACUUUUGAUCUUCACACAGACAUUUGGAUGGAUGUUAUCUGUACCUGGCUUAAAGAGCUUCACAUUUCUUUCGGAGGACCAAAGGCAGAAGAGUGAUCACUUAGCUAAACAUCUCUGCUGAGACACAGACUGCAGCUGCAAAACAUGAAUCACACCUUGAAAAGGCAGAAUGUGUCAUGUAAUUAUACAGCUGGUCCGCUGGAGAAGACUGUGCUUCCUGUUCUGUAUUCUUUCAUAAUUUGCAGUGGAUUGCCAGCCAAUUUCCUAGCCUUGUUGAUAUUUACAAGGCAGUCUGUGAAGAAACAUGGGAUCUUUGUUUAUCUAGUGAACCUGUCAGUGGCUGAUCUGAUUAAUUGCCUGGUCCUUCCAUUCAGAAUAGCUCUGCUUAUUACAGGUGAUGCCUUGGAAGAAAAUUCUGGGGCAUGUAUGUUUGUAACAGCAAUCGUUAACUUGGGUUUUUAUUCUACACUGGCAUGCAGGACAUUCUGCAUUAUCUUCAUAAGCAUUAGCAGGUAUGUAAUGAUUGUGAGGUACCACAAUAACAAAUUGAAUGCAUUUAAUGAUGUAACCUUUGCAAAGUACGCUUGUAUUGUGUCUUGGGCCCUGGGGAUCCUGAUUGUGUCAAUACCUUUAAU
Molecule: long non-coding RNA, 732 nt
Organism: Stegostoma tigrinum
Lineage: Eukaryota; Metazoa; Chordata; Chondrichthyes; Orectolobiformes; Stegostomatidae
Exons: 3
Source: RefSeq, a predicted model, not a curated record